CCUACGGGAGGCAGCAGUGAGGAAUAUUGGUCAAUGGACGCAAGUCUGAACCAGCCAAGUAGCGUGCAGGAUGACGGCCCUCCGGGUUGUAAACUGCUUUUAGUUGGGAAUAAAAGGGGGCUCGUGAGCCCCGUAUUGUAUGUACCAUCAGAAAAAGGACCGGCUAAUUCCGUGCCAGCAGCCGCGGUAAUACGGAAGGUCCGGGCGUUAUCCGGAUUUAUUUGGUUUAAAGGGAGCGUAGGCCGGCUUUUAAGUCAGCUGUGAAAGUCCGCGGCUCAACCGUGGAAUUGCAGUUGAAACUGGAGGACUUGAGUGCACACAGGGAUGCCGGAAUUCAUGGUGUAGCGGUGAAAUGCUUAGAUAUCAUGAAGAACUCCGAUCGCGAAGGCAAGUGUCUGGGGUGCAACUGACGCUGAGGCUCGAAAGUGAGGGUAUCAAACAGGAGUAGAUACCCCAGUAGUC
Molecule: ribosomal RNA, 462 nt
Filed under: uncultured bacterium
Lineage: Bacteria
Description: partial 16S ribosomal RNA
Rfam family: Bacterial small subunit ribosomal RNA
Source: RNAcentral